UGGUGAAUAUUGGACACUGGGUGGAACCCUUAUCCAGCCAUGCCGCGUGUGUGAAGAAGGCCUUAUGGUUGUAAAGCACUUUAAGCGAGUAGGAGGGUACUGGUAUUAAUACUACCAGCUACUGGACGUUACUCGCAGAAUAAGCACCGGCUAACUCUGUGCCAGCAGCCGCGGUAAUACAGAGGGUGCGAGCGUUAAUCGGAUUUACUGGGCGUAAAGCGUGCGUAGGCGGCUAAUUGAGUCGGAUGUGAAAUCCCCGAGCUUAACUUGGGACUUGCAUUGGAUACUGGUUAGCUAGAGUGUGGGAGAGGAUGGUAGAAUUCGAGGUGUAGCGGUGAAAUGCGUAGAGAUCUGGAGGAAUACCGAUGGCGAAGGCAGCCAUCUGGCCUAACACUGACGCUGAGGUACGAAAGAAUGGGGAGCAAACAGG
This 430-nucleotide ribosomal RNA is filed under the name Pseudomonadota bacterium. RNAcentral's name for it is "Proteobacteria bacterium partial 16S ribosomal RNA". It matches the Rfam family "Bacterial small subunit ribosomal RNA", at positions 355 to 776 of the family's 1533-position model. The record is from RNAcentral. Lineage: Bacteria; Pseudomonadati; Pseudomonadota.